This 404-nucleotide ribosomal RNA is filed under the name uncultured bacterium. RNAcentral describes it as "partial 16S ribosomal RNA". It matches the Rfam family "Bacterial small subunit ribosomal RNA", at positions 30 to 526 of the family's 1533-position model. The record is from RNAcentral.
AUUGCACGCUGGCGGCAGGCCUAACACAUGCAAGUCGAGCGAGCGGCGGACGGGUGAGUAAUGCCUGGGAAUUGCCCAGUCGAGGGGGAUAACAGUUGGAAACGACUGCUAAUACCGCAUACGAUUGGAUUGCCCAGGUGGGAUUAGCGAGUUGGUGAGGUAAUGGCUCACCAAGGCGACGAUCCCUAGCCGGUCUGAGAGGAUGACCAUGCACACUUGAACUGAGACACGGUCCAGACUCCUACGGGAGGCAGCAGUGGGGAAUAUUGCACAAUGGGAGAAAGCCUGAUGCAGCCAUGCCGCGUGUGGGAAGAAGGCCUUCGGGUUGUAAAGCACUUUCAGCGAGGAGGCGUUACUCGCAGAAGAAGCACCGGGUAACUCCGUGCCAGCCGCCGCGGUAAUAG